RNAcentral lists this ribosomal RNA (385 nucleotides) under uncultured bacterium. RNAcentral's name for it is "bacterial SSU rRNA". It matches the Rfam family "Bacterial small subunit ribosomal RNA", at positions 30 to 415 of the family's 1533-position model. The record is from RNAcentral.
AUUGAACGCUGGCGGCAUGCCUUACACAUGCAAGUCGAACGGCAGCACGGGGCAACCUGGUGGCGAGUGGCGAACGGGUGAGUAAUAUAUCGGAACGUACCCUAGAGUGGGGGAUAACGUAGCGAAAGUUACGCUAAUACCGCAUACGAUCUACGGAUGAAAGCGGGGGAUUCGCAAGAACCUCGCGCUCAUGGAGCGGCCGAUAUCUGAUUAGCUAGUUGGUAGGGUAAAAGCCUACCAAGGCAUCGAUCAGUAGCUGGUCUGAGAGGACGACCAGCCACACUGGAACUGAGACACGGUCCAGACUCCUACGGGAGGCAGCAGUGGGGAAUUUUGGACAAUGGGGGCAACCCUGAUCCAGCAAUGCCGCGUGAGUGAAGAAGGC